Molecule: long non-coding RNA, 483 nt
Filed under: Numida meleagris (helmeted guineafowl)
Lineage: Eukaryota; Metazoa; Chordata; Aves; Galliformes; Numididae
Description: lncRNA (ENSNMEG00000020607.1)
Source: RNAcentral
CUCCUCACCAGCUAACCCCAGGAGGAGGGGGGUGAUGCUCAGCUUCAGCAAAGCUCUGGCUGUGUAUUUACAGGUCACAUUUGAUGGCCAUUCACCUGGCACUGGAUCCCAGGCUCACCGCUGUCCCGGGGAGCUUCUACUGGCACCAGUGGGAAGCUGUUUGCUGAGUAGGAAAAGACGAAGCGACUCAGUGCACUGGAUGGCCAUCUGGUUUCUGUAGGACAUGCUGGAAGUGGCUUCUUAAAUUGUUGGAGCAGAAAUAUUAUCAAGAAAGCAUCCCUCACAGUGAUUUCGAUGGUUCCUGUAGUCCUGGGAUAAGAUAUAUAAACCUGAAAAAAAUGCUGGAGGCAAGAGACAAAGCAGCUGUGGAAGACAGUUCCUAUUCAUGGGCAGGUUGUGCAGCAGUGGCAAUGGGCUUCAUUCUCUUUGAGACAAAAGGUUUAAACAGACUUUUCUCCAAAUAUAUUAUCAGCAUAAAAGACA